GACGAACGCUGGCGGCGUGCUUAACACAUGCAAGUCGAACGGAAAGGCCCCUUUGGGGGUACUCGAGUGGCGAACGGGUGAGUAACACGUGAGUAACCUGCCCUUGACUUCGGGAUAACUUCAGGAAACUGGGGCUAAUACCGGAUAGGAAUCCUUGCUGCAUGGUGGGGGUUGGAAAGCUUCGGCGGGUUUGGAUGGACUCGCGGCUUAUCAGCUUGUUGGUGGGGUAGUGGCUUACCAAGGCUUUGACGGGUAGCCGGCCUGAGAGGGCGACCGGCCACAUUGGGACUGAGAUACGGCCCAGACUCCCACGGGAGGCAGCAGUGGGGAAUAUUGCACAAGGGGCGGAAGCCUGAUGCAGCAACGCCGCGGGCGGGAUGACGGCCUUCGGGUUGUAAACCGCUUUCAGCAGGGGCGAAGCUUGUGGUGACGGUACCUGCAGAAGAAGCACCGGCUAACUACGUG
RNAcentral lists this ribosomal RNA (465 nucleotides) under uncultured bacterium. RNAcentral's name for it is "partial 16S ribosomal RNA". It matches the Rfam family "Bacterial small subunit ribosomal RNA", at positions 28 to 507 of the family's 1533-position model. The record is from RNAcentral.